This 305-nucleotide ribosomal RNA is filed under the name uncultured bacterium. Its description in RNAcentral is "bacterial SSU rRNA". It matches the Rfam family "Bacterial small subunit ribosomal RNA", at positions 337 to 635 of the family's 1533-position model. The record is from RNAcentral.
GCCUACGGGGGGCAGCAGUAGGGAAUUUUCGUCAAUGGGCGCAAGCCUGAACGAGCAAUGCCGCGUGAACGAGGAAGGUCUUCGGAUCGUAAAGUUCUGUUGAAGGGGAAAAAGAGCGGAGAGAGGAAAUGGUCUCCGAUUGAUAUUACCCUUCGAGGAAGUCACGGCUAACUACGUGCCAGCAGCCGCGGUAAUACGUAGGUGGCGAGCGUUAUCCGGAAUGAUUGGGCGUAAAGGGUGCGUAGGCGGCCUGCUAAGUCUGGAGGGAAAGGUACCGGCUCAACCGGUACAGGCUCUGGAACCUG